RNAcentral lists this small RNA (28 nucleotides) under Bombyx mori (domestic silkworm). Its description in RNAcentral is "ovarian small RNA-8017". The record is from RNAcentral. Lineage: Eukaryota; Metazoa; Arthropoda; Insecta; Lepidoptera; Bombycidae.
UGAAUUAAAAGUGUGUCCCAUGCGUUAC